Molecule: long non-coding RNA, 352 nt
Filed under: Zostera marina
Lineage: Eukaryota; Viridiplantae; Streptophyta; Magnoliopsida; Alismatales; Zosteraceae
Description: long non-coding RNA (ZMAR_LNC003040)
Source: RNAcentral
UAUUCCUCCAAAUAUUGUCAAAGAAUUCUUGGGGAGGACGAGGAGGCAGUGGAAUCUCCACAGCCAGGACACCAUUAAUCUUCUCUCCCUCAGAAUUCAAAUUCUCCUCUGGAUCACUCCACAAUUCAUAAUCAAUCACAGAAUCAUCACUGUCAUAGUCAUAGUUCCAGAGCUCAUACACUCCCCCAUCCUCACCAUCACUGUCCUCAGGCAGAUUGAUAUUCCACACUGGACGGGGCCUCUCAUACUCAGAGUCAGAAGAGGAAUAUACAUCUUCCACAUCACCAAAAUAUUCCAGAGCCUCCACAUUCAUAUUCUGCUUCCUCAGCUCCCUCAUUCUCCUAAGGUUCCU